RNAcentral lists this long non-coding RNA (1304 nucleotides) under Chloebia gouldiae (Gouldian finch). Its description in RNAcentral is "Erythrura gouldiae (Gouldian finch) lncRNA (ENSEGOG00005013730.1)". Lineage: Eukaryota; Metazoa; Chordata; Aves; Passeriformes; Passeridae. The record is from RNAcentral.
GACAGGAAAAAAAGGCUGCAGAGCUUCCUACACUGGGAUGUGAAGAACCUGGAGGCAGAGGUUUAGUCACCAUGAUUUACUGUUUCUUGGAGAGCCUGGGUUUUUUCGUGAUACCAAAACCAGUAUUAAUAGAAGACUGGGCUCCGGAAUUAGGACGGUUUUCUUGGAUUUAAAAUGCUUGAAAAAAAAUAAUAAUAAAAAAAAAGAAGCCCUGAUCCAUCGCUGCUGCUGUGCUGUGCGACAAAACCUCGCCUUCCCUCCACUUGGAACAGGUGAGAGAUGGAACUAGAGCCCGAAGGAUUUUCUGCUCAGUGAGUAUACCUGAGUUUUAUUGGGGACUUUCUGGGAAAUCUGACACGUAGUUCUGGCCAUGAGGGUAGUUGAGCGUGCCAGUGCACAUCUGCAAACACGCAGAGCGAGAACCUUUGAGAUGUAAACCGGGCUUUAUUCAAUGGAAUCCCACUGUGUGCUGCGCCCCGGUCCUUUGUACAAAUAGCGUCCGGGGAGGGAACCAGAACCGCACAUUCCUCGUGGUAUGUAUGGGAUUUUGGGGGGCUUAAAUAAAAAGGAGAUGCAAAUUGAGGGAAUUGUUUUUACAUGGAACUAUUCCUGUCCUAAAGGAGCCAUCAGCUCAGUUCCGAGAGUUGAGUUACAAGUCUGCGUCUUGAAAGGGCCGGAAGCCUUUUAGGGGCUGCAGUUUGUGUCCCGUGGAAUGAGCUGCCCCCGGGAAAUGCGUGAGCCGAACGUAGCCGAGCCCGGGCGAAGGGAGCCGAGCUGCGGGGAGUGGCCGGGUGGGGGCGGUAAUAGGCGAGCUUCGGCGGAAAGAGGCGAAAGUGACCGAGGAGCCGAGCGGAGCCGAGCUGCGCCGAGUUGAGGCGAGGGGAGCCGAGCUCCUCCGAAGAGACGAAUGGAGCCGACUGCAGGCGACAAUAGGCGAGCUUAGGCGGAAAGAGGCGAAAGUGACCGAGGAGCCGAGUCCAGCCGAAGCCAGCCGAGCUCGGCCGAGCGCAGCAUCCCGGGCAGGGCGGGGCGCCGGGGCGGAGCCGGGGCUCUGUGGGGCUCCCCGCCCUUUCCCUGCCUCUUGCCCUCCUUCCUCCUCCCCGCAUUCCCCUCAGUUACCUCUCUUUCCCCCGUUUCCGUCUCCCAACCCAAAGCCGGCUCCUUCCUGUCCUGCCCCUGCCCCGCUACUCCGUUCUAUUCCCCCUCUCGGUGGUGUGAGAUUAGGUGGAUGUGAUAUUCACAGCUCUGGAGCCAAGGCUGAGCACCGUCGAGUCGCGCUGGCUGCUCUGCACAGGCGAGUGUGA